GGUGGUUCUCGGGUGACACACCCUGGAAUCUGGCUCCCUCUUCUCUGGUUCCAGGUGCAUCACCCAAGAACUGCA
Non-coding RNA from Myotis lucifugus (little brown bat), 75 nucleotides. NCBI's taxonomy places the organism in Eukaryota, Metazoa, Chordata, Mammalia, Chiroptera, Vespertilionidae. The record is from Rfam.